CGUGCGUAGGCGGCCAAUUAAGUCAAAUGUGAAAUCCCCGAGCUUAACUUGGGAAUUGCAUUCGAUACUGGUUGGCUAGAGUAUGGGAGAGGAUGGUAGAAUUCCAGGUGUAGCGGUGAAAUGCGUAGAGAUCUGGAGGAAUACCGAUGGCGAAGGCAGCCAUCUGGCCUAAUACUGACGCUGAGGUACGAAAGCAUGGGGAGCAAACAGGAUUAGAUACCCUGGUAGUCCAUGCCGUAAACGAUGUCUACUAGCCGUUGGGGCCCUUGAGGCUUUAGUGGCGCAGCUAACGCGAUAAGUAGACCGCCUGGGGAGUACGGUCGCAAGACUAAAACUCAAAUGAAUUGACGGGGGCCCGCACAAGCGGUGGAGCAUGUGGUUUAAUUCGAUGCAACGCGAAGAACCUUACCUGGCCUUGACAUACAGAGAACUUUCCAGAGAUGGAUUGGUGCCUUCGGGAACUCUGAUACAGGUGCUGCAUGGCUGUCGUCAGCUCGUGUCGUGAGAUGUUGGGUUAAGUCCCGCAACGAGCGCAACCCUUUUCCUUAUUUGCCAGCACUUCGGGUGGGAACUUUAAGGAUACUGCCAGUGACAAACUGGAGGAAGGCGGGGACGACGUCAAGUCAUCAUGGCCCUUACGGCCAGGGCUACACACGUGCUACAAUGGUCGGUACAAAGGGUUGCUACACAGCGAUGUGAUGCUAAUCUC
This 709-nucleotide ribosomal RNA is filed under the name uncultured Acinetobacter sp. Its description in RNAcentral is "bacterial SSU rRNA". It matches the Rfam family "Bacterial small subunit ribosomal RNA", at positions 566 to 1275 of the family's 1533-position model. Lineage: Bacteria; Pseudomonadati; Pseudomonadota; Gammaproteobacteria; Moraxellales; Moraxellaceae. The record is from RNAcentral.